RNAcentral lists this ribosomal RNA (472 nucleotides) under uncultured bacterium. RNAcentral describes it as "bacterial SSU rRNA". It matches the Rfam family "Bacterial small subunit ribosomal RNA", at positions 21 to 518 of the family's 1533-position model. The record is from RNAcentral.
GGCUCAGGACGAACGCUGGCGGCGUGCUUAACACAUGCAAGUCGAACGGGAGUAUUGAAGAAGCUUGCUUAGAGAUACUUAGUGGCGGACGGGUGAGUAACGCGUGAGGAGCUGUCCUAUGCAGGGGGACAACAGCUGGAAACGGCUGCUAAUACCCCAUAAGCCGAGAGGUAAAAGGAUCAAUCCGGCAGAGGAGGUACUCGCGUCCUAUCAGCUAGUAGGUGAGGUAACGGCUCACCUAGGCGAAGACGGGUAGCCGGCCUGAGAGGGCGAACGGCCACACUGGAACUGAGAUACGGUCCAGACUCCUACGGGAGGCAGCAGUGGGGAAUAUUGGGCAAUGGGGGAAACCCUGACCCAGCGACGCCGCGUGGGUGAAGAAAUCCUUCGGGAUGUAAAGCCCUGUUGUAUGGGAAGAGCGGAAGACGGUACCAUACGAGGAAGCCCCGGCAAACUACGUGCCAGCAGCUGC